UCAUUCGUUGGCGGAGUAAAUCCACUCGUUUCAUGCAAUAGCCUGCAAACCAUGUGGAACAAGUAAAGCGAAAUGGAUUUUGAAGAAGAUGAAACCACUCUCAGAACCUUACUCUCCACCAACAUUUUCACCUCAGCACUGAUGUUCAAGAAGUUACUAAGCAAGACAACAAUAUGCUCAUAUAUACAUAUACAUAUACGAUAUAUAUAUAUAUAUAUAUAUAUAUAUAUAUGCUUGAAUUCUUGGGGUCUGAUAAUUUGAUCGCGCUUUUGCCUAUUUAUCAGGUUCUUGGGAUUGAUAUCCACCCAGGUACUUAACCCCUAUUUUGAUUGGACAUGAAUUUAAGGAGAAAUAAUUAACAUUAUGACAAAGAUCAUACACGAGCCGUACAGCAUGGUGCAAGACUAACUCGGAACUGUUUGUGUGUAUAUGUACUUUGAGAGUAGAUGUUGUAUUCCUAUAUAUAUAUAUGGGCGUAUAUAUAUGUAUACAUACAUGAGGUUUUGAACAGCGGCAAGGAUAGGAGAAGGAGUGAUACUAGAUCAUGGGACUGGCAUCGGGCAGACAGCUACCAUAGGAAACAAUGUCUGGCUCAUGCAUGGGGUUAAAAUAGGGAAUGACGGCCAUUCAGAAAUCGGGGACGGUGUCAUAAUUGGGUCCUGCGCCAUUGUGCUUGGCAACGUAACCAUCGGUGAAGGUGCGAGGGUGGCUGCUGCUUCCCUUGUUUCGUCACAUAUCCCUCCCUACCGCAUGGCUGGUGGAAACCCUGCCCAGUUGAUUGGAUACGUAGCCGUGCAAUCGAGGGAAGAAGGUGAGCAUUCUCUCCCAAUCCCAAAUCCAACAGCUUUACCACCUCCACGUUGACAUCGCGCCUAGCCACGUAUUUUAGGGAGUGUGCGUUUUCGUAUUCGGGAAUAUUUCUGUUCGAAUCUUUUGGUUUUACAAAAUAUGUAUCGGUUAUUAUAUUAUAUUCUUUUCGAUUCGA
Tarenaya hassleriana is the source of this 985-nucleotide long non-coding RNA. RefSeq lists it as uncharacterized. Lineage: Eukaryota; Viridiplantae; Streptophyta; Magnoliopsida; Brassicales; Cleomaceae. The record is from RefSeq and is a predicted model, not a curated record. The transcript is spliced from 4 exons.